This is an RNA transcript of Abrus precatorius (Indian licorice), 1926 nucleotides long. It is a transcript of the gene named diacylglycerol kinase 7, with no coding region annotated. The record is from RefSeq and is a predicted model, not a curated record. The transcript is spliced from 13 exons. Lineage: Eukaryota; Viridiplantae; Streptophyta; Magnoliopsida; Fabales; Fabaceae.
UUUCCGAAUGCGAGAGAAAACGUUUCAAUGACGGCAUAAUACAUAACAACACAACCUUUUUGAAAGUGAAAUCACCGCUACAAACUCCAUUUUCUCAUUGGACUUUCGUCUUUGCCUGCGUGCGGACUGCAGUCACACGAAGCCAACGGUGUUACGAAAAGAAUCGAGUCGCGGAGAGAAAGAGAGAGAGAAGAUGGAUUCGCCGGCGAUGACCGGCGACACGAACAAGAUAGCGGUGAGGUCGUCGAUUGUGGAGUCACUACGCGGCUGCGGUUUCUCUGGGAUUCGAAUUGAUAAGGAGGAGUUGAAGAAGCAGCUCACCAUGCCGCAGUAUCUUCGUUUCGCAAUGCGGGAUUCCAUUCGCCUUCAGGACCCUGCCGCCGGCGAGUCCCGCUACUUGCGCCGCACUGACGACGAGGAUGCUACCGCUCCGCCUUGUCCCAUGGUCGUCUUCAUCAAUCCCCGCAGCGGCGGUCGCCACGGUCCUGUUCUCAAGGAGAGGCUUCAGCAACUCAUGAGUGAAGAGCAGGUUUUUGACCUUUCAGAUGUGAAGCCUCAUGAAUUUGUACGGCAUGGAUUGGCUUGCCUGGAGUUGUUAUCAAGUCUUGGUGAUUCUUGUGCCAAAGACACUCGUGAAAGAAUCAGGGUUAUGGUUGCUGGGGGUGAUGGUACAGUUGGCUGGGUAUUAGGAUGUCUUACGGAACUUCGCAUCCAGGGUCGAGAGCCAGUUCCUCCUGUAGGGAUCAUACCACUGGGCACAGGCAAUGACCUAUCUAGGAGUUUUCGUUGGGGUGGAUCAUUUCCGUUUGCAUGGAAGGCAGCUAUUAAGAAAAGUUUAUAUAGGGCUACUACUGGACCAGUUCACCGUUUGGAUAGUUGGCGAGUUUCACUUUCAAUGCCAGAAGGCACACCUGUGAACCUACCACAUUGUUUGAAGCAUACAGAAGAGUUUACUCUUGAUCAGGGUGUUGAAAUUGAGGGAGAGCUUCCUGAAAAAGUUGCAAGUUAUGAAGGCGUAUUCUAUAAUUACUUCAGCAUAGGAAUGGAUGCCCAAGUAGCUUAUGGCUUCCAUCAUCUACGGAAUGACAAACCAUACCUUGCAAAUGGUCCAAUUGCAAAUAAGAUUAUAUACUCUGGAUACAGUUGCACACAAGGCUGGUUUUUCACACCUUGCACAAGUGAUCCAGGUCUAAGGGGGCUUAGAAACAUUUUGCGGAUGCAUAUCAAAAGGGUCAAUUGCUCAGAGUGGGAGCCGGUCACAAUUCCAACAAGUGUAAGGGCAAUUGUUGCUUUGAAUCUUCAUAGCUAUGGAAGUGGAAGAAACCCAUGGGGUAAACUGAAACCAAAAUACUUGGAAAAGGCUUUUACAUGUACUUCCAGAGAGGCUUUGUUGAAGCUGAUGUUGCCGAUGGGCUGUUGGAGAUAUUUGGUUUAAAGCAAGGAUGGCAUGCGUCGUUUGUCAUGGUUGAACUGAUCUCUGCAAAGCACAUAGCUCAGGCAUCAGCUAUUCGAUUGGAAGUCAGAGGUGGAGCCUGGAAAAAUUCCUAUAUGCAAAUGGAUGGUGAACCCUGGAAACAGCCAUUGAGCAAAGAUUUCUCCACGUUCGUGGAAAUAAAGAGGGAGCCCUUCCAGUCUCUUGUGAUUAGUGGCAAGUGAUUCCUAGGUGGUUGGCUGUUCCAUAGCUGGGAUUCAUGAAAGGGUUGUGUAUAAUAUGCAAUCUUAGGUUCUGGCUUUCCAUUAUAUGGAGAGUUUGAUGUUGUAAAAAAUAAAAUUUCUUCUUUUGUUGUUUUAUUGCAAAAGUCUAGUUUGUGAUUAGUGGAAAGCAAUUCUUUGAUGGUUUCCAUAGCUCGUAGUCAUGGAAGGCAUGUGUAUUAUACACAAUCUUGGGCAUUGGCGUUUCAUUAUAUAUAUAUAAGGAAAAAUUAU